GAAAGCAAUCAUGCUAGGGGUCUGGCUCUCGAGAUUUGGGGAGCAGUGUCUCUUCGAUUUUUGAGAAAGUAAUCAUGUUGGGAGUCUGGCUCUCGAGAUUCGGAGGGCGGUGCCUCUUCGAUUUUGGAGCAAGCAAUCUUGUUGGGAGUGUUUUCUCGAAUGUGAGUAAAGGUUGGGCAUGUUUGCUAGUCUACCUUGCCACGAAGCACAGAGGUUGACACACAAGGACUUUCCAAUUAUCCAGCAAUGGUACUGUUCCUUUACCCUCUCUUCGAUUUUUGAGAAAGUAGUCAUGUUGGGAGUCUGGCUCUCG
RNAcentral lists this long non-coding RNA (313 nucleotides) under Malus domestica (apple). RNAcentral describes it as "long non-coding RNA (MDOM_LNC014774)". The record is from RNAcentral. Lineage: Eukaryota; Viridiplantae; Streptophyta; Magnoliopsida; Rosales; Rosaceae.